Long non-coding RNA from Gallus gallus (chicken), 466 nucleotides. The record is from Ensembl. NCBI's taxonomy places the organism in Eukaryota, Metazoa, Chordata, Aves, Galliformes, Phasianidae.
CCAGGAGUUGUUUGGAAGUGAAAGACCAGGAAUGAGAGCUGUAGCUUCACAAAGUUGUGUUUUGUUCCAGAUUUUUGCUGGAAGAGCUAGUGAAGUAUCUACGUAUGCAAUAGGUCAAGAGCAUCAUUAAGCUCUAAUCUCUUGGAGGAGAAAAUGCAGUGCAGUUUUUCUCAUCUCUGUUGGGCACUCGGAAUGAACCUGAGAAAUUGGUUAAUGGAAGAGAAGGUUGCCUUCUCCUAAGGUCCUCUGGAAUCUACAGUCAUCAUUUGCUUUAGUGCUUCUCCCAGCUGGAAAACCAAGGAUGAUGUUUUUCAGCACUUCAGAAUGAAGUUGUGUUUACUGUAGUGCUUUGAGUAAUAGUGAGAGCAUGUGUUGAAGGACCCUACUUGUUUAACAACAAAAUUCGGAUUUCAUUCCGUAGGUUUCACAAAUCUGGGAAACGGCACUUGAGCAUUGUUUGAAAUAG